CUCAAGACACAGUGCUAAUGUAAAUAAAUAAAUAAAAAUAAAUAUAUAUAUAUAUAUAUAUAAAUAUAUAAAUAUAAAAUUUACAUAUAUAUGUAUAUAUAAGUGAAUAAAUAUAUUUUACUUAAAUAUACAUAUAUAUGUAUAAUCUUGCCUGUUUGCAUCUGGAACACUUGUUUCUUGUUACACACAUUGUGUACAGUCAUAACAGAUGUGUGCAAGUCAAAACAACAACUUGUACAGAUCUGAAAAUUAGUUUGUCAUUAGAAAGGAGUGAAAUUGUGGUAUGAAAUUCCCACAAAAGAUUUAUCGAUGAAGAACAAGUAAGAACUUACAAGGAGUUAUAGAAUAUAAAUGAAAAGAAUUCAUUGGAAUUUGACUUCAGUAAUUUUAUGCUUACAAAGCAUUCCACAAGGGAAGAAAUGUGCCCUGAUAUUGUGAUUUGAAUUUAUGUUAGGGAGCUUGUAAAUUGAAUCUGGCCAUGAAAUACUUUGACAAAUGUAUAAUCUUUCAAUACCUGCCAAUCAUUCUACACUGGAUUGCCCCACUUGUGCAAAAUACUUGAUGUUUCAGUAACCAAGUUACUGAAAAUUAAUUGAACUACAGCAACUGAUCAUUUAUAUAUAAAAUUCUUCAUGUAUGCAGUCAUAUUAUUAUAAUGUAUUUUAGAAAAAUCUUUCUGUAGAAGAAUUCAUAAUUGGAGUUUUAUUUCAGUACAGAAUGGAAAAGAACACUUAUUGAAUCAUCAAUAUAAAGUAUAUUUCAUAACUUCAUGAUUUAUAUUAGAUUAAAUACUUGUACUGUCAUUUUUAGUUGUGGGGAUAAUUUAUGUAGAAUAUCUUGUUACCUCACUGCAUACACGAACAGUUUUGUGUUUAGAGCGUGGCUUGCAGUGAGUCAUAUUGUAAAAAAAAAGAGAUGCCCAUAUUCUAAAAUCAUACAGUUCAAUAAUGAAAUGUCUAGAUGUGCAUUAAUAAACUGUAAAAUUAUAUUUCCAUUUGUUAUUUCUUAUAUAUUUUUCUUUUGUUAAAAAGUCACAUCAAACAAAAAUAUUUAGUUUUUUGCUUUUAUUAUUAUAUAAUUUUUUUAAAUUGACAUUAAUUUGUAUUGAGAUUCAUUUCAUAAUUUUAUAUUUUUGCCAUUAAUAUUUGAUUAUGAACUGCUAAAUUUUUAAUAAAUCAUAGUUUUAAUUUUUUUUAAACUGCUAAAUUAUUAAAUGCGAUCUGAAAAGUACAAAAGUUAUAUUUUUUCUAAAAUAGAAAUAAUUAAAAUUACUAUGGCUUUUAUGUAUUUAAGAAAUAAAUAGUUCCUUUCUUGUGCAAUUCUAUUCCUAAUUUUACUCUAAUUUUAUACUUUCUCUUUAUAAUCUUAACUAGACAUUAUUAACAAUAAUAUAUUAAAGGACUAUUUUAAAAUAGCUGUUUUUUAUGUAAGAAUUCAGAUUUGUAUAAUCUAAGCCGGUUUAAUAUUUGAAAAUUCUCUUUAGUUUAAGAUUAUAUUAUAAAUACCAAAAUCACUGUUAAAAGGUCAAAAUAUGAAGUGCAUAAGAUUUGCUGUGUUUUUAUAUCAUAAAAAUGGAAUGGUAUUUUAUUUUGUUAAUAUAUUUUGAAGUGUGGUUAUUCUUUAUCACAAGUGCAUGUAAAUUAUGUGGUGCAAGACCAAAAUAAGUGUCCAAUUGAGUAAGUUACCUCAGUUUUCUGUAAGCAUGAUAAUUUUUAAUUAUAUGGCUGUUACGGUUUCUUGUUUAAAUAUAUCAUUUAAACUUUGUAGAAUUUUAAUUAAAUACAUGAUUUGUAUAAUAUGUUACUUGUCUAGAAAAGAAAAUUGUAAUAUACCAAAGUACUUAUUUUCUUUUUAAAAUUUUGGUGGUUAUAACAACGAGGCAUAAUUAAAUGUACAAAAGGGUAUCAUUAUGGAUGCAAAUGUAAAGUUUCACGUGUUCAUAAGAAAAUAGCAUCCAUAAAAUAUGUCAUGGUGAUAAAGAAAAGAGAUAUUAAACAGAAAGUGUUCAAUAAAGAUUUAGUCAAUUCCAAUUGAUGAAUUAAAUAGCAUUAAUUAAUUAAUAAAAACAAUGAACAUAAUCAUAACUCAUUCCUUCCGUC
This 2099-nucleotide long non-coding RNA is filed under the name Androctonus crassicauda. Lineage: Eukaryota; Metazoa; Arthropoda; Arachnida; Scorpiones; Buthidae. The record is from RNAcentral.